GAAAGACCCUAUGAAGCUUUACUGUAGCCUGGAAUUGGGUUCGGGCUUUAACUGCGCAGGAUAGGUGGGAGGCUAUGAGAUGUUCCUUGUGGGGAACAUGGAGCCAACGGUGAGAUACCACUCUGUUAAGGCUAGAAUUCUAACUUGUGCCCGUGAUCCGGGACGAGAACAGUUUCAGGUGGGCAGUUUGACUGGGGCGGGCGCCUCCUCAAA
Molecule: ribosomal RNA, 213 nt
Filed under: Chloropicon mariensis
Lineage: Eukaryota; Viridiplantae; Chlorophyta; Chloropicophyceae; Chloropicales; Chloropicaceae
Description: partial Bacterial large subunit ribosomal RNA
Rfam family: Bacterial large subunit ribosomal RNA
Source: RNAcentral